This 355-nucleotide ribosomal RNA is filed under the name Triticum aestivum (bread wheat). RNAcentral's name for it is "partial small subunit ribosomal RNA". Lineage: Eukaryota; Viridiplantae; Streptophyta; Magnoliopsida; Poales; Poaceae. The record is from RNAcentral.
CGUCGCCCCACACCAUCGCAACUCCUCCGUCGCCCCAAUGACACCCCACUGCCAUGCCCUCCACCAGGACCCCCACGAGCACCCAACAAAGUCAAGCUCGGGCCAUCGCCCCCAAGCACUUCGCCGGCAACCAUCGCUUCAGAGCCGUGCCAUCAACCCCAAUCACUCAGCCAGCGACCAUACUCCUCCCCGUCGUCCCUCACCACCAUCCUCCUCUGCAGAUCUCCUCCCCCGAGCAGGCCCUCCGCACAAGCUCAACCGAGCACCAAGGAGGUCCUCAAGUGGCACCGCCUCCUUAUUGAGCUCCUCUGGCAGCUGCACCUUCUCCAUCGGUCACACCUCCACUAGAGAUUGG